RNAcentral lists this ribosomal RNA (253 nucleotides) under uncultured bacterium. Its description in RNAcentral is "partial 16S ribosomal RNA". It matches the Rfam family "Bacterial small subunit ribosomal RNA", at positions 524 to 776 of the family's 1533-position model. The record is from RNAcentral.
UACGUAGGUGGCAAGCGUUAUCCGGAAUUAUUGGGCGUAAAGCGCUCGCAGGCGGUUUCUUAAGUCUGAUGUGAAAGCCCACGGCUCAACCGUGGAGGGUCAUUGGAAACUGGGAGACUUGAGUGCAGAAGAGGAGAGUGGAAUUCCUGGUGUAGCAGUGAAAUGCGUAGAUAUCAGGAGGAACACCGAUGGCGAAGGCAGGUCUCUGGGCUGACACUGACGCUCAUGCACGAAAGCGUGGGGAGCAAACAGG